RNAcentral lists this ribosomal RNA (442 nucleotides) under uncultured bacterium. RNAcentral's name for it is "partial 16S ribosomal RNA". It matches the Rfam family "Bacterial small subunit ribosomal RNA", at positions 338 to 795 of the family's 1533-position model. The record is from RNAcentral.
CCUACGGGAGGCAGCAGUGGGGAAUAUUGGGCAAUGGGCGCAAGCCUGACCCAGCAAAGCCGCGUGAAGGAAGAAGGCUUUCGGGUUGUAAACUUCUUUUGUCAGGGAAGAGUAGAAGACGGUACCUGCCGAAUAAGCCACGGCUAACCACGGGCCCGCAGCCGCGGUAAUACGUAGGUGGCACGCGUUUUCCGGAUUUACUGGGUGUAAAGGGCGUGUAGGCGGGUUGACAAGUCAGAUGUGAAAUGCUGCGGCUUAACCGCAGAAGAGCAUUUGAAACUGUUGAUCUUGAGUACUGGAGAGGCAGACGGAAUUCGUAGUGUAGCGGUGAAAUGCGUAGAUAUUAGGAAGAACACCAGUUGCGAAGGCGGGCUGCUGGACAGCAACUGACGGUGAGGCGCGAAAGCGUGGGUAGCGAACAGGAUUAGAUACCCUAGUAGUC